Molecule: long non-coding RNA, 1146 nt
Filed under: Medicago truncatula (barrel medic)
Lineage: Eukaryota; Viridiplantae; Streptophyta; Magnoliopsida; Fabales; Fabaceae
Description: long non-coding RNA (MTRU_LNC007720)
Source: RNAcentral
CUACGACCUCUUUACAACUCUUACAUGUAUGCCUUUCCUUCAAAAUAUGAAGCCAUCUUUUUUCCCUAUAUCAUAUACAUUAAAUCAUUUGCUCAAAGUUUAACGGAUAUACAUUAUUGUUGUAAAAUAUUUUUACAUCAACAUCUGAACAAAACUCAUGCACUCAUGCCAUUACUAUUUAAGUACAAAAUGUUUGAUUUUUUUUUAUUUUUUAAGAAGUUAAACUAACUCACCUGCAUAGACUUUGAUCACACUCCAGUCCCAAAAUAUUUGAUUCUUAUCAAAGGUCCCUCUAAAUUUAGUUCAUCCUUACAUUGCAUGUCUCUUUUUUUUUUUUCAUUGAUUAAUUUAUUUUCCUAAAAAUAAUUUUGUUGAAAAUGCAAUAUAUGUAUAACUGAAAACAAAAUUAUUUGAGUUAAUUAAUUACCAGAAUCAAUGGCUUGAUGCUUUCAACGCUAAAAACAGAGUCAUCCUCUUGUUGACAAUGAUCAAGCAAAACAUCCAAGAAAUCACCAGCAACCACGCCACCAUCAUGCGAAUUACUAUUUCUAUCUUCAACACGUUUUUGAAUCAUACGAUCAAAAAUCUCAUGCAAUCUUACAUAUGAAACCUUAACGUGUCUCUUCACACCUUGCAGAUCAAACAUCUUCACCACUGGAAAAUAAUCAGAAACAUUCACUUUCCCAGCAUCUUCCAUUAUCCUCCAUACAAGCUCUUUAAACUCACCAGCACUCUCGAACUCCGAAUCAACAAGGUCCUCUGAGAACACCGUGUUGGAAACCAAGUUCAACAUGGUGGCGAAAGCAAGUUCACCUAUGUCAACGGUUGUUUUCUCUGCUGCUUUUUUGUGAAGGUGUUGGACUAGUUGCUCAACUUUCCGGUGACGGAGAUGUUGGAGAAGGUCAAGGCGGUGGGUGGUGAAUAUUUGUGUGGUGCAGAUACGUCUACGGUUACGCCACCGUGAGUCGGCAUGGGACCAUGCGAGUGUGUCGUUGACGUUGGGUUGAGCAGCAACUGAUUCAGGGAUAGGGCGGUUGGCGAAGGAUUGGUCGUUUUUUUGGAGGAUUUCUUGGGCGGUUUUCGGGGAGGAAGCAACGGUGACGGUGACGGAGCCGAAGCGGAGGGACAUGAUGGGGCCAUAGGUUU